GCGGGCUUAGUUCAAUUGGUAGAACGUUUCCUUGCCAAGGAAAAGGUUACGAGUUCGAGCCUCGUAGCCCGCU
Molecule: transfer RNA, 73 nt
Filed under: Chloroflexota bacterium
Lineage: Bacteria; Bacillati; Chloroflexota
Description: tRNA-Gly
Rfam family: tRNA
About the family: Transfer RNA (tRNA) molecules are approximately 80 nucleotides in length. Their secondary structure includes four short double-helical elements and three loops (D, anti-codon, and T loops).
Source: RNAcentral